This 497-nucleotide ribosomal RNA is filed under the name uncultured bacterium. RNAcentral's name for it is "partial 16S ribosomal RNA". It matches the Rfam family "Bacterial small subunit ribosomal RNA", at positions 28 to 507 of the family's 1533-position model. The record is from RNAcentral.
GAUGAACGCUGGCGGCGUGCCUAAUACAUGCAAGUCGAGCGAACAGACGAGGAGCUUGCUCCUCUGACGUUAGCGGCGGACGGGUGAGUAACACGUGGAUAACCUACCUAUAAGACUGGGAUAACUUCGGGAAACCGGAGCUAAUACCGGAUAAUAUAUUGAACCGCAUGGUUCAAUAGUGAAAGACGGUUUUGCUGUCACUUAUAGAUGGAUCCGCGCCGCAUUAGCUAGUUGGUAAGGUAACGGCUUACCAAGGCAACGAUGCGUAGCCGACCUGAGAGGGUGAUCGGCCACACUGGAACUGAGCCACGGUCCAGACUCCUACGGGAGGCAGCAGUAGGGAAUCUUCCGCAAUGGGCGAAAGCCUGACGGAGCAACGCCGCGGGAGUGAUGAAGGUCUUCGGAUCGUAAAACUCUGUUAUUAGGGAAGAACAAAUGUGUAAGUAACUAUGCACGUCUUGACGGUACCUAAUCAGAAAGCCACGGCUAACUACGUG